GAUGAACGCUGGCGGCGUGCUUAACACAUGCAAGUCGAGCGAAGCACUUAAGUUUGAUUCUUCGGAUGAAGACUUUUUGUGACUGAGCGGGCGGACGGGUGAGUAACGCGGGGUAACCUGCCUCAUACAGGGGGAUAACAGUUAGAAAUGGCUGCUAAUACCGCAUAAGACCACAGUACUGCAUGGUACAGUGGUAAAAACUCCGGUGGUAUGAGAUGGACCCGCGUCUGAUUAGGUAGUUGGUGAGUAACGGCCCACCAAGCCGACGAUCAGUAGCCGACCUGAGAGGGUGACCGGCCACAUUGGGACUGAGACACGGCCCAG
This 324-nucleotide ribosomal RNA is filed under the name uncultured bacterium. Its description in RNAcentral is "bacterial SSU rRNA". It matches the Rfam family "Bacterial small subunit ribosomal RNA", at positions 28 to 334 of the family's 1533-position model. The record is from RNAcentral.